Molecule: long non-coding RNA, 393 nt
Filed under: Ananas comosus (pineapple)
Lineage: Eukaryota; Viridiplantae; Streptophyta; Magnoliopsida; Poales; Bromeliaceae
Description: long non-coding RNA (ACOM_LNC007996)
Source: RNAcentral
CUAAUUAUCUCAAAGAUAUAUUAUGUUUGACUUAAUUUUUCUGAAAUAAAAUAAAUUAUCUUACUGAUGAAAGUAUAUAUAGAACUAAACUAAAAUAUUAUCGGUAGUACGGAGACUAUAGUACUAUAAAAUUGAUUUUUUAUGAUGAAAUAUCCAAAUUGAUGAUUAGCUGAUUUAGAUAGAAUUUAUACCAUUUGAAAAUAUCUAGAAUAAUUCUUGACGAUUUCAUCUAUUUUGAAUAUGCUUUAAUCAUAUAAAAUAAAUCUCUCAACCUUGUUUUUGUAUUGAGGCAUAAUUUUUGUUUAACAAUAGUUAUAUAUAAGUUGAUAAUUUGAUAAUUUGACGGGCAUUUGAAUCGGUGAAGUUACAAUUUAUCCAUAAAUCAAAUUUAUU